AUCUGCUCCAUCAGGAGUUCAUCUCACAAGCCCAGGACAGGAGCAAGAGGAACAAUAAUCACAGCAGUGUUCUUCCCUGUACAAAACAGCAAGAAACAGUCAACACAGAGUUGCCACUAUCUUUCUAGAAAAAACAAACACUCAUCCAGCAAUGGAGCCAGUUUACCCUUUUCAAGAGCAAGUACAACUUCAGCAAAUGUAGCACUACACACAAAUCAGAAAGCUUUUAACAAUGAAGAUGCAUAAUACAAUAGAAAGAAAGCACAGUAACAACAGCAGAAACCAAGGACCUAAGCUGCAACAAGAAAAAACUUACUCAAAUACAACAGCCAUCAGCAUGGAAAGAAAGAAAAGAAAAGACUUACCUUCACAAAGCCUCAAGCUGGACAACCUAAUGUCCUUGGCCUCUCCUCAAAGGAUUUACCUCCCACUCUAUGACUUGCUGUGUUGCCCUCUUAUGGAUGCCUUCAAGGACCUCAACAUCUUUUUUAAAUUGAGGAGUGCAGAACUAUACACAGUAUUAAAGACGGUUUGAACAACUGUGUGUCCAUGGAGCAGCCUCCAGCUACCAGCUCUCUUCUCUUUGCCCUGGAAGGGACCACUGAAUCAGAAGCUUCACAAAUACAUUGUCUGCUGGCUCAGCAAUAAGCCAAAAGCAUCCAAUAGCAGAUUCACCUCAGCCAUCUUGCUAAAGCAUUCCUUGAAACAUCCCCACGACGUCCUGGAUGGCACUGUUCACCAUAUACAAAAAUGACAAAUUUUGUUAAAACUGUAGCAUUUUUCACUGUAUUGUUGUGCUGUGUGUUUAUCUUAGGAUUUUCUUCAGCAUAGAACUGUCAGCACACAGAUGAGGAUCUAUGUAAUUAAUUUUUCAGGAAAGACAAGUAGAGCCAGUGGAAAAAAAGUAAAAUAAAGAGCAAGCUGGCAGCAAACCUUUAAGCAGGAUGACAAAAUUCUGGAGUGUGCCUUGCAAAGCAGUCAGCUUCUCUUGGAGUUCAGUAGCCAGCUGGAGGGUGUGAUGAUGCAGAGGAGAAAAUUGAAGCCAACCAAAAUAAAAUGAGGCAGGGCAGGAAAGGGGAUGGUGUGGGAGAAGUGAACCUAAGACUUGAAGUAGGUUUGUCUAUGCCUAAACCACUUAAUCUAUAGGCCGGAGGCUACAACAGCACUGAAAUUUGCUUUACGUCUUUUCUGUGACAUGUAAGAGAUAUAGCUAUAAUUUUCCUCUUGUAGGUUGUAUCUGCUAGGACCAGGCUGCAAGAUAAGAAAGUCACAAGCCACAUAAAUUCCAAGAUACUUUUUAUCUAGGAAUAGAAAGCUGUAGCCCUCACCU
Molecule: non-coding RNA, 1330 nt
Organism: Meleagris gallopavo (turkey)
Lineage: Eukaryota; Metazoa; Chordata; Aves; Galliformes; Phasianidae
Source: RefSeq, a predicted model, not a curated record